Molecule: ribosomal RNA, 466 nt
Filed under: uncultured bacterium
Lineage: Bacteria
Description: partial 16S ribosomal RNA
Rfam family: Bacterial small subunit ribosomal RNA
Source: RNAcentral
GAUGAACGCUGGCGGCGUGCUUAACACAUGCAAGUCGAACGAUGAAGCCCAGCUUGCUGGGUGGAGUAGUGGCGAACGGGUGAGUAACACGUGAGUAAACUGCCCUUAACUCUGGGAUAAGCCUGGGAAACUGGGUCUAAUACCGGAUAGGAGCGUCCACCGCAUGGUGGGUGUUGGAAAGAUUUAUCGGUUUUGGAUGGACUCGCGGCCUAUCAGCUUGUUGGUGAGGUAAUGGCUCACCAAGGCGACGACGGGUAGCCGGCCUGUGAGGGUGACCGGCCACACUGGGACUGAGACACGGCGCAGACUCCUACGGGAGGCAGCAGUGGGGAAUAUUGCACAAUGGGCGCAAGCCUGAUGCAGCGACGCCGCGUGAGGGAUGACGGCCUUCGGGUUGUAAACCUCUUUCAGUAGGGAAGAAGCGAAAGUGACGGUACCUGCAGAAGAAGCACCGGCUAACUACGUG